RNAcentral lists this ribosomal RNA (570 nucleotides) under Triticum aestivum (bread wheat). RNAcentral's name for it is "partial small subunit ribosomal RNA". Lineage: Eukaryota; Viridiplantae; Streptophyta; Magnoliopsida; Poales; Poaceae. The record is from RNAcentral.
AUGGAGCCGAGACGAGCGAUCCACCGCAGAUCCGGCGCGCUCCUGCUCCUCUUCGCCGCUGUCUUCGCGGCGGCCGCCGGCGCCUCCGCCUCCGCCAUCGGCGACAAGUGCGCCGCCUGCAAAGCCGUCGCGGCUGAGCUGGAGAUUGGAAUAUCAAGUGAGAAACCAAGAAAUCACUUGGACCUGCGUAACCGGUUAAAUUCGAAAGGUCAGCGUGAGGGGAAGGUCAUCGAUUACAGAGUCAGCGAGCUUCGGAUCGUAGAGCUUCUGGAUGACCUAUGUGAUAAGAUGCAAGACUAUACGCUACAGAAGUUGGAAUCAGGCGAAAAAGAGUGGGUGAAAGUAAAAAGCUGGAACAGUUUUGAAAAUAAGAAAGCUGCAGCACGAGCACACUCCAAAAAUCUAUCCAGUUACUGUGGAAGGUUACUGGAGGAAACUGAGGACGAGCUUGCUGAGUGGAUAAAAACAAGCUCGGGAGAAUCCGGGAACGUGAGCCAGGCCCUUUGCCAGGAUAUUAGCAAACACUGUCAGUCCACAAGUGCUACGGCCCCGGUCGACGAUGAACUAUAA